AAAUUGAAGAGUUUGAUCAUGGCUCAGAUUGAACGCUGGCGGCAGGCCUAACACAUGCAAGUCGAACGGUAACAGGAAGCAGCUUGCUGCUUUGCUGACGAGUGGCGGACGGGUGAGUAAUGUCUGGGAAACUGCCUGAUGGAGGGGGAUAACUACUGGAAACGGUGGCUAAUACCGCAUAACGUCGCAAGACCAAAGAGGGGGACCUUCGGGCCUCUUGCCAUCAGAUGUGCCCAGAUGGGAUUAGCUAGUUGGUGAGGUAACGGCUCACCAAGGCGACGAUCCCUAGCUGGUCUGAGAGGAUGACCAGCCACACUGGAACUGAGACACGGUCCAGACUCCUACGGGAGGCAGCAGUGGGGAAUAUUGCACAAUGGGCGCAAGCCUGAUGCAGCCAUGCCGCGUGUAUGAAGAAGGCCUUAGGGUUGUAAAGUACUUUCAGCGGGGAG
RNAcentral lists this ribosomal RNA (449 nucleotides) under Salmonella enterica subsp. enterica serovar Thompson. RNAcentral's name for it is "bacterial SSU rRNA". It matches the Rfam family "Bacterial small subunit ribosomal RNA", at positions 1 to 446 of the family's 1533-position model. Lineage: Bacteria; Pseudomonadati; Pseudomonadota; Gammaproteobacteria; Enterobacterales; Enterobacteriaceae. RNAcentral also lists the same sequence under 2 other names. The record is from RNAcentral.